UACGGAGGGUGCGAGCGUUGUCCGGAAUCAUUGGGCGUAAAGGGCGCGUAGGUGGCGGCUUAAGCGUGCGGUGAAAGCUCGGGGCUCAACCCCGAGUCGGCCGUGCGGACUGAGUCGCUUGAGCACUGUAGAGGCAGGCGGAAUUCCGGGUGUAGCGGUGGAAUGCGUAGAGAUCCGGAAGAACACCGGUGGCGAAGGCGGCCUGCUGGGCAGUAGCUGACACUGAGGCGCGACAGCGUGGGGAGCAAACAGG
RNAcentral lists this ribosomal RNA (253 nucleotides) under uncultured bacterium. RNAcentral describes it as "partial 16S ribosomal RNA". It matches the Rfam family "Bacterial small subunit ribosomal RNA", at positions 524 to 776 of the family's 1533-position model. The record is from RNAcentral.